CAGAAAAUAGUUUAAGGAAAAAUAUUAGCUUUGGGAGUUGAAGAUAUUAGUUAUAAUUUUUCUGA
Molecule: transfer RNA, 65 nt
Filed under: Moloha majora
Lineage: Eukaryota; Metazoa; Arthropoda; Malacostraca; Decapoda; Homolidae
Description: tRNA-Pro
Rfam family: tRNA
About the family: Transfer RNA (tRNA) molecules are approximately 80 nucleotides in length.
Source: RNAcentral